This 699-nucleotide ribosomal RNA is filed under the name uncultured Actinomycetales bacterium. RNAcentral's name for it is "bacterial SSU rRNA". It matches the Rfam family "Bacterial small subunit ribosomal RNA", at positions 64 to 776 of the family's 1533-position model. The record is from RNAcentral. Lineage: Bacteria; Bacillati; Actinomycetota; Actinomycetes; Actinomycetales.
GAACGGAAAGGCCCUGCUUGCAGGGUACUCGAGUGGCGAACGGGUGAGUAACACGUGGGUGAUCUGCCCUGCACUUCGGGAUAAGCUUGGGAAACUGGGUCUAAUACCGGAUAGGAACCAUCUUUAGUGUGGUGGUUGGAAAGUUUUUUCGGUGUAGGAUGAGCUCGCGGCCUAUCAGCUUGUUGGUGGGGUAAUGGCCUACCAAGGCGGCGACGGGUAGCCGGCCUGAGAGGGUGUACGGCCACAUUGGGACUGAGAUACGGCCCAGACUCCUACGGGAGGCAGCAGUGGGGAAUAUUGCACAAUGGGCGCAAGCCUGAUGCAGCGACGCCGCGUGGGGGAUGAAGGCCUUCGGGUUGUAAACUCCUUUCGCUAGGGACGAAGCUUUUUGUGACGGUACCUAGAUAAGAAGCACCGGCUAACUACGUGCCAGCAGCCGCGGUAAUACGUAGGGUGCGAGCGUUGUCCGGAAUUACUGGGCGUAAAGGGCUCGUAGGUGGUUUGUCGCGUCGUCUGUGAAAUUCUGGGGCUUAACUCCGGGCGUGCAGGCGAUACGGGCAUAACUUGAGUGCUGUAGGGGUAACUGGAAUUCCUGGUGUAGCGGUGAAAUGCGCAGAUAUCAGGAGGAACACCGAUGGCGAAGGCAGGUUACUGGGCAGUUACUGACGCUGAGGAGCGAAAGCAUGGGUAGCGAACAGG